AAUUUCUUUUGCAAUUCUACUCUCAAUUAUUUACAAAAGUUGUUGUCCAGAACCAUUCUUUCAUGUGUAUUAAUCUAGGCCGGCUCUAUGCCUGGUAUACAAAAAAAAAAAAAACAAAUAAACUCAUCAACAAAUGAACAUUUUGCAAAAAAGUUAGCGGUCCAUUACCUUCAAACCAACUAAAAAAAGUUAGUCGAAUAACUGAAAGUAAAAGUUCAAAUGGUAUUUUUUUUUAAAAGGAAGUGCAAAUGGGUUAGACACUUUUUUUUAAUUUUUCGGCUGAUAGACGGUUCUUAUAUCUCUUAUUUAAGAGACGAUUCUUAUAUCUCUUAGUUAAGAGAUAAUUCUUAAUUUUUCUUAGUUAAAAUCUAAGAAAAGUUAAGAAUCGAUUUUUAGCCGAAGUUAAAAACCCAGUUAAUUAGAGACUGAGUUAUCUAUACUAUACUAAAAGGAGGAUAUAAUCAACAUUCAGCUUAUCCACGUAGGAUUAAAAAUUUGACCAAUAAAAACAAGUUAUUUUGCCACGUCAAAAGAGCUAUCGCAGAGUAAAGACGAAAACCUCAAUCACCAAACAUGCUUCGUCUUCCUAAUUCUCACGGAAGUAAUUCCACCGUCUGUUAUCAUCCCUUUGGUUUCUCUUCUCUAAUGUCAUAAACCCAUUAAUAAUGAGUCGCAAAACCUCAUUCUUUACUGCAACAAUCAAACGUGGCGAAACUCUUUCUAUUCCUUCUGCUUUUAGCUACUCCUCUUCACCACAUUAGCAGUAACCGAAUAAUCGCAGCAAUCGAUGGCAAACAAAACCGUGAAUCUUUUUCUUUCUGGUGAUUUUCAGUUAUGAAGAAUGUUUUGUUUAGCUCUUUUAAUUUUCAUCUAACAUUCUAAAGUAUUUUAUGUUUUGUAUUUGUAUUUGAUUCUUGGAUCUGGUCUGAGUCGUGCUGCUACUCUCCACCACCUGGCUUUAACCAUUGAAUCCAUCGUCAUGUCUGUCACUCGCCGGAAAGUCGGAAAACAGGUCUGUGCUUUUCUUUCUGGAGGAAGAUAUGCAAAGAAAGUUGUUGUACCCAUUGGACAAAUCUAAAGAAAACCCAGAACCAAGAAAAAUUACAGAGAGACUGAGGCAAAGAUCUAUUUGAUGUUCUCUCUGAUGAUGUCAUGCAGAGACAGAUGCAGGACUUGAAAAGGAAAAGCACAGAGGAACUGAAGGCUUUCGUAGAGAUCUCUUGCACAACUUCUCCCAAUCAUUUAGUUUCUGUGAGGAAAGCUUAUUGUUUACUCCUCAAUUCAUCCCUUGCAGAAUACACUGGUUCAUCUAUUCAUUUUCCUCCAGCGAAAGUUUUUGUUUUUUGGUAUCAUACAUUUUAACUUACAAAAUUGCUUCUUUUUUUGUCUUUUAGU
Molecule: long non-coding RNA, 1395 nt
Organism: Brassica napus (rape)
Lineage: Eukaryota; Viridiplantae; Streptophyta; Magnoliopsida; Brassicales; Brassicaceae
Exons: 3
Source: RefSeq, a predicted model, not a curated record